GAUCUAGAAUAAUGGUUCUUCAUCUUCCAGGCAAGUAGAUUGAAAAACUUUCAAUCUUACGUUCUUUCUUUGAGAUUGAAAUGGCUAGUUUUACUGCUGCAACAUCCAACACGUCCAGAAAGAGGGCAAGAAAAUCAACACCUUCAUGUCGAAGGAUAUGGACUCCAGAAGAGGAACUUACUCUUAUAGAUGGAUUAAAAGAAUUGUGUGUUAAUGGUUGGAGAGGACAUAAUGGAACCUUUAGACAUGGAUAUUUAAUGGAAUUGGAACACUACAUGAAUGCUUGUCAUCCUAGUUGUGGAUUGAAAUCUCUACCAUAUGUUGAUUCUAAAAUAAGAGCAUGGAAAAAGAGUUAUGCAACCAUAUCGUUGCUAAAGAGUUGAAGUGGUUUAGGAUUUCAAUAUAGUGACGGAAGUAUCUUAGUUGAUUAUCCAAAAGCUUGGGAUGACUUGAUAAAGGUUGAUCCAAAUGCCAAGUCAAUGAACUU
Solanum pennellii is the source of this 487-nucleotide long non-coding RNA. RefSeq lists it as uncharacterized. The transcript has 3 exons. NCBI's taxonomy places the organism in Eukaryota, Viridiplantae, Streptophyta, Magnoliopsida, Solanales, Solanaceae. The record is from RefSeq and is a predicted model, not a curated record.